RNAcentral lists this ribosomal RNA (472 nucleotides) under Klebsiella pneumoniae. Its description in RNAcentral is "partial 23S ribosomal RNA". It matches the Rfam family "Bacterial large subunit ribosomal RNA", at positions 1105 to 1580 of the family's 2925-position model. Lineage: Bacteria; Pseudomonadati; Pseudomonadota; Gammaproteobacteria; Enterobacterales; Enterobacteriaceae. The record is from RNAcentral.
CUUAGAAGCAGCCAUCAUUUAAAGAAAGCGUAAUAGCUCACUGGUCGAGUCGGCCUGCGCGGAAGAUGUAACGGGGCUAAACCAUGCACCGAAGCUGCGGCAGCGACACUAUGUGUUGUUGGGUAGGGGAGCGGUCUGUAAGCCUGCGAAGGUGUGCUGUGAGGCAUGCUGGAGGUAUCAGAAGUGCGAAUGCUGACAUAAGUAACGAUAAAGCGGGUGAAAAGCCCGCUCGCCGGAAGACCAAGGGUUCCUGUCCAACGUUAAUCGGGGCAGGGUGAGUCGACCCCUAAGGCGAGGCCGAAAGGCGUAGUCGAUGGGAAACAGGUUAAUAUUCCUGUACUUGGUGUUACUGCGAAGGGGGGACGGAGAAGGCUAUGUUAGCCGGGCGACGGUUGUCCCGGUUUAAGCAUGUAGGCUGAUUGUCCAGGCAAAUCCGGAUAAUCAAGGCUGAGGUGUGAUGACGAGGCACUAC